GCAGGUUCCUGUGGGCACACUUCCUCCAUAGCACACUUCUGAAGUAAACGGGCCUUAGGGGAACUUGGCCCUGACUAUGACUUAAGGUGUCUGGACGUCUGGACCACCUGAAUCAAGGCCUGAGGUGACCUGGACCUUUGAAGAUUUGUUUUCUUUUUUAGAAGCAUCUAGGAAUAGUGUUCAAAGUUUCUAGAACCCUUUCUAGGAAGUACUUGGGAUAUAUAUUUUUCUAUUUACAUUUUUUUGUUUUAUGAAGCUAUUACUCUUUUUAAAGGUCUUUGAUUGAUAAAUAAAAUUUAUCCCUUUCUGUACCA
Pipistrellus kuhlii (Kuhl's pipistrelle) is the source of this 314-nucleotide long non-coding RNA. RefSeq lists it as uncharacterized. Lineage: Eukaryota; Metazoa; Chordata; Mammalia; Chiroptera; Vespertilionidae. The record is from RefSeq and is a predicted model, not a curated record. The transcript has 2 exons.